RNAcentral lists this ribosomal RNA (253 nucleotides) under uncultured bacterium. RNAcentral describes it as "partial 16S ribosomal RNA". It matches the Rfam family "Bacterial small subunit ribosomal RNA", at positions 524 to 776 of the family's 1533-position model. The record is from RNAcentral.
UACGUAGGGUGCAAGCGUUAAUCGGAAUUACUGGGCGUAAAGCGUGCGCAGGCGGUUUUGUAAGUCUGACGUGAAAUCCCCGGGCUCAACCUGGGAAUUGCGUUGGAGACUGCAAGGCUAGAAUCUGGCAGAGGGGGGUAGAAUUCCACGUGUAGCAGUGAAAUGCGUAGAGAUGUGGAGGAACACCGAUGGCGAAGGCAGCCCCCUGGGUCAAGAUUGACGCUCAUGCACGAAAGCGUGGGGAGGAAACAGG